RNAcentral lists this ribosomal RNA (499 nucleotides) under Leptobrachella juliandringi (Dring's dwarf litter frog). Its description in RNAcentral is "partial large subunit ribosomal RNA". It matches the Rfam family "Bacterial large subunit ribosomal RNA", at positions 1928 to 2603 of the family's 2925-position model. The record is from RNAcentral. Lineage: Eukaryota; Metazoa; Chordata; Amphibia; Anura; Megophryidae.
CGGCCGCGGUAUUUUGACCGUGCGAAGGUAGCGUAAUCACUUGUCUUCUAAAUAAAGACCAGUAUGAACGGCGCCACGAGAACUAAACUGUCUCCCCCCUUUAAUCAGUGAAACUGAUCUCCCCGUGCAGAAGCGGGGAUAAACACAUAAGACGAGAAGACCCUGUGGAACUUUAAAUUUAUUGUCACUUAAUUCCCUAUUAACCUUAACAAAAACACAAAACUUGAUUUAAAUUUUCAGCUGGGGCGUCUGUGGAGAAAAAAUCACCCUCCACGAAGAAUUAAAUCUGAGAACUACUACUCUAAGAAUUAACACCCUUAACUCUACUUGACCCAAUUUUAUUGAUCAACGGACCAAGUUACCCCAGGGAUAACAGCGCAAUCCACUUCUAGAGUCCAUAUCGACAAGUGGGCUUACGACCUCGAUGUUGGAUCAGGGCAUCCUAGUGGUGCAGCCGCUACUAAAGGUUCGUUUGUUCAACGAUUAAAGCCCUACGUGA